UACCGGGUGUGGAUGACGGUACCGGAAGAAUAAGGACCGGCUAACUACGUGCCAGCAGCCGCGGUAAUACGUAGGGUCCAAGCGUUAAUCGGAAUUACUGGGCGUAAAGCGUGCGCAGGCGGUUGUGCAAGACCGAUGUGAAAUCCCCGGGCUUAACCUGGGAAUUGCAUUGGUGACUGCACGGCUAGAGUGUGUCAGAGGGGGGUAGAAUUCCACGUGUAGCAGUGAAAUGCGUAGAGAUGUGGAGGAAUACCGAUGGCGAAGGCAGCCCCCUGGGAUAACACUGACGCUCAUGCACGAAAGCGUGGGGAGCAAACAGGAUUAGAUACCCUGGUAGUCCACGCCCUAAACGAUGUCAACUAGUUGUUGGGGAUUCAUUUCCUUAGUAACGUAGCUAACGCGUGAAGUUGACCGCCUGGGGAGUACGGUCGCAAGAUUAAAACUCAAAGGAAUUUGGC
This 458-nucleotide ribosomal RNA is filed under the name uncultured Ralstonia sp. RNAcentral's name for it is "bacterial SSU rRNA". It matches the Rfam family "Bacterial small subunit ribosomal RNA", at positions 457 to 914 of the family's 1533-position model. Lineage: Bacteria; Pseudomonadati; Pseudomonadota; Betaproteobacteria; Burkholderiales; Burkholderiaceae. The record is from RNAcentral.